RNAcentral lists this ribosomal RNA (496 nucleotides) under uncultured bacterium. Its description in RNAcentral is "partial 16S ribosomal RNA". It matches the Rfam family "Bacterial small subunit ribosomal RNA", at positions 30 to 523 of the family's 1533-position model. The record is from RNAcentral.
AUUGAACGCUGGCGGAAUGCUUUACACAUGCAAGUCGAACGGUAGAGGGGGCAACCCCUCAAGAGUGGCGAACGGGUGAGUAAUAUAUCGGAACGUGCCCAGUCGUGGGGGAUAACGUAGCGAAAGUUACGCUAAUACCGCAUACGAUCUAAGGAUGAAAGCGGGGGAUCGCAAGACCUCGCGCGAUUGGAGCGGCCGAUAUCAGAUUAGGUAGUUGGUGGGGUAAAGGCUCACCAAGCCAACGAUCUGUAGCUGGUCUGAGAGGACGACCGGCCACACCGGACCUGAGACACGGUCCAGACUCCUACGGGAGGCAGCAGUGGGGAAUUUUGGACAAUGGACGCAAGUCUGAUCCAGCCAUUCCGCGUGCAGGAUGAAGGCCCUCGGGUUGUAAACUGCUUUUGUACGGAACGAAAAGGUCUCUCUUAAUACGGGGGGCUCAUGACGGUACCGUAAGAAUAAGCACCGGCUAACUACGUGCCAGCAGCCGCAGUAA